This 247-nucleotide unclassified non-coding RNA is filed under the name Hevea brasiliensis (rubber tree). The record is from RNAcentral. Lineage: Eukaryota; Viridiplantae; Streptophyta; Magnoliopsida; Malpighiales; Euphorbiaceae.
AAGAAAGCAGCAAACUUUCUAGAAUUGUAUCACACAACUCAAAAGCACAAGGCAUAAUAGCUGGGGAUUUUAUUCACUUGAAAACUGAAUAGUAAUACAUUACAAGCAUGAGUGUUUAUAAACCCAAAAGUAAUCCUAAACCUUUACUUACUAGUUACUACUCCAAUUCCAUAUCAAAUAUGACUUCCUAAGCAAAGUGGUCCCCCACCCCCUUUUUGCUCCUAUAGGAUUGUUAACAUUAUUCAAG